This 254-nucleotide ribosomal RNA is filed under the name uncultured bacterium. Its description in RNAcentral is "partial 16S ribosomal RNA". It matches the Rfam family "Bacterial small subunit ribosomal RNA", at positions 524 to 776 of the family's 1533-position model. The record is from RNAcentral.
UACGAAGGGGGCUAGCGUUGUUCGGAUUUACUGGGCGUAAAGGGCGCGUAGGCGGCCACCGCAAGUCGACUGUGAAAUCUCCGGGCUUAACCCGGAAAGGUCAGCCGAUACUGCGGGGCUAGAGUGCAGAAGGGGCAACUGGAAUUCUCGGUGUAGCGGUGAAAUGCGUAGAUAUCGAGAGGAACACCUGCGGCGAAGGCGGGUUGCUGGGCUGACACUGACGCUGAUGCGCGAAAGCUAGGGGAGCGAACGGG